UGGAAGCCCUUACAGUAGACACUCUCGGCUGCUCCAGCCAGGCACCUCCCUCCUACAGCUUGUCUCCUGAAAAUCGACCACCAUACCUUCAAUCCUGUCCCUGGCUGCCCGUCACUCCCCGAGAAAGCGUUCGCUUUGAAAACGAAAGCGGCCCUCAUUAACUACUGCCCAGGCUACUCUGAAACUGAGAGAAAUGGUACUCUGGAAAUGACACGAGAAAUCAGAAACAUCUGCCUGAAUCAAACCUCACAAAUUCUAGGAUUGUGGCUUUCCUGCAUUCAAUCUUGAAGAAAAAAUUAGCUUUUGGAUUAUAUUAUGAAAAUAUAUAUCUUGUUUUUAGUAGAUAUAAUACUAAGGGUGUGACACUUAAAAGAACACUAAUGUUUAUUCUUUAAUUAUAGAAGGGAUUCUUAACUUAUUUUUGGCAUAUCGUUGUUUAGUGUAGGCGCUUUAAAUGGAAAAUGAGCAUUACCCCUUUAAUGGAAAUAACCGUGCUGUUAAUGAUUGGCUUCGGCUUCUGAGCAGUCUUUCUCACCUCACCUGAGACACUUUACUCUAGGGCAAACCUAACUGUAGUAGGAAGAAAAUCAAAAGUAGAAAAACAGUUGAAACCAAUGACAGGAUCUAUACUCCAUUUAAAAGGCAAGAAUUUUUGUACCUGUAAUGAUUCUUCUAACAUUCCUACGCUAAGAUUUUACUAAAGAAGAAAAUAACAGCAGAGGAAAGUGUUCAGGCAGUCACUGCCAUGAUGAAGCUGUCAGAAUCUGAGAGCUACUGCUGCAACUGAUCGUGUAGUAAAUCCAGCUGUAAAGGGGAUCUUAACCCACCACAGUGGGAUGCACAGGCAGAUCCCCAAGGGCAUUGUGCAGCUGUGAGAUAUAUAUUUAAAGUUGUAUAUAAUGAUUUUCUAAUUUAUUCCGUGAGCACCUUUGAAAAUAUACAUGUCGCUGUGUAACAAAUACACUUCUGAAUAAAGUAAUUCUCAAGUUC
Molecule: long non-coding RNA, 990 nt
Filed under: Rattus norvegicus (Norway rat)
Lineage: Eukaryota; Metazoa; Chordata; Mammalia; Rodentia; Muridae
Description: long non-coding RNA NONRATT013296
Source: RNAcentral